GUAACUUACUAUGUAAUAUUAACUGGUUGUUACAGUCGAUACUCUCAACUCACAUAUGUGUAGGCGGAGGAUCUGAGUCCGCGUGUAAUGGUGACUCCGGUGGCCCAUUGGUCUGUGUGAAGAGCAACGAGUAUAUACUGGCCGGGGUGACGUCAUGGGGAUCGUCUAAUUGC
Molecule: unclassified non-coding RNA, 173 nt
Filed under: Mizuhopecten yessoensis (Yesso scallop)
Lineage: Eukaryota; Metazoa; Mollusca; Bivalvia; Pectinida; Pectinidae
Description: elastase-1-like, transcript variant X1
Source: RNAcentral